RNAcentral lists this small RNA (499 nucleotides) under Aspidothelium scutellicarpum. RNAcentral describes it as "eukaryotic LSU rRNA". It matches the Rfam family "Eukaryotic large subunit ribosomal RNA", at positions 120 to 639 of the family's 3401-position model. The record is from RNAcentral. Lineage: Eukaryota; Fungi; Ascomycota; Lecanoromycetes; Thelenellaceae.
AUCUGGCCGCGAGGCCCGAGUUGUAAUUUGCAGAGGAUGCCUCGGGGGAGGUGUCGGCCCAGGUCCCCUGGAACGGGGCGUCGCAGAGGGUGAGAAUCCCGUAUCUGGCCGGCCUCCGACCCCGUGUGAGGCUCCUUCGACGAGUCGAGUUGUUUGGGAAUGCAGCUCUAAAUUGGUGGUAAAUUUCAUCUAAGGCUAAAUACCGGCUGGAGACCGAUAGCGCACAAGUAGAGUGAUCGAAAGAUGAAAAGCACUUUGGAAAGAGAGUUAAAAAGCACGUGAAAUUGUUGAAAGGGAAGCGCUCGCAGCCAGACUCGCUCCCAGCUGAUCAGCCGUCUCUCGGGGCGGUGUACUCUGCUGGAGACCGGGCCAGCAUCGAUUCCGGGGGCGGGAUAAAGGCCUGGGGAAUGUAGCUCCCCCGGGAGUGUUUAGCCCCUGGCGCCAUGCCGCCACCCGGGAUCGAGGAUCGCGCUCUUGCUCGGAUGCUGGCAUAAUGGCU